Molecule: long non-coding RNA, 413 nt
Organism: Carassius auratus (goldfish)
Lineage: Eukaryota; Metazoa; Chordata; Actinopteri; Cypriniformes; Cyprinidae
Exons: 3
Source: RefSeq, a predicted model, not a curated record
UACACAUGUCCAGGAAGAGGAAGAUGAAUAUUCUGAACUGCAUAUUCAAGUGUGAAAACUAGCCAUUUGACACUUUAAGCUGCUGAUAUUUUUGUCAUUUGAGCGUCGACACUCAGACAUCGACACUGCAGCGCGAAAUUACUAUGGUGCCGUCACUCGUAACAUCUCUUCCUCUGAUCUUGGUGAUCAUGACUGCGGGGGUUGAUGGUCAGCAGGAUUGGGGAGUGAAUUAUAGUCAUUCAUAUGUUUGUGCAUUAAAGGGGUCAACAGUGAAACUGUCCUGUACUGUAAAAUAUCCUCAUAAUCAUGUGCUUAAAACAGUCUUCUGGACCAAACCUGUAGCUUAUGGAGAUCCACCAAACGUGUGUUCAGUCCCAAAAAAGAGAGGAAGAGUUCAGUGUGACCGUGAAUAU